UCUACGGGAGGCAGCAGUGAGGAAUCUUGGUCAAUGGACGAGAGUCUGACCCAGCCACGUAGCGUGAAGGAUGACUGCCCUAUGGGUUGUAAACUUCUUUUAUAUGGGAGUAAAAUGUUCCACGUGUGGGUUUUUGUAUGUACCAUAUGUAUAAGGAUCGGCUCACUCCGUUCCAGCAGCCGCGGUAAUACGGAGGAUCCGAGCGUUAUACGGAUUUGUUUGGUUUAAAGGGAGCGUAGGUGGAUUUUUAAGUCAGUUGUGAAAGUUUGCGGCUCAACCGUAAAAUUACAGUUGAGACUGGCAGUCUUGAGUACAGAAGAGGUGGGCGGAAUUCGUGGUGUAGCGGUGAAAUGCGUAGAGAGAACGAAGAACUCCGAUGGCGAAGGCAGCUCACUGGACUGCAACUGACACUGAGGCUCGAAAGUGUGGGUAUCAAACAGGAUUAGAUACCCUUGUAGUC
This 460-nucleotide ribosomal RNA is filed under the name uncultured bacterium. RNAcentral's name for it is "partial 16S ribosomal RNA". It matches the Rfam family "Bacterial small subunit ribosomal RNA", at positions 338 to 795 of the family's 1533-position model. The record is from RNAcentral.